AACCCAUGGUGAGGGCAUCUUCUCAAGAGGUCCUUGUAUCUCUCCCAUGCAUCGUAGUAAAUCCAUCUGCACAAAGGAAGAAAUAUCAUUAAGUAAUUU
Molecule: non-coding RNA, 99 nt
Organism: Gossypium hirsutum (cotton)
Lineage: Eukaryota; Viridiplantae; Streptophyta; Magnoliopsida; Malvales; Malvaceae
Source: Rfam